AUACUUAGCCGACAGGGAAGAGACCAUGAUUACAAAGAUCAAUUUCCCAGGGCAAGGCUUAUCCACUGCACCCAGGAUGUACUGACUCCUGUGAUUUCCCCCCAAAAUGGGAAAUUCAACUGCAGAAUUUGUGGUAAUGAGGGGCUGCACUCAAGCUCUCCCCUG
This is a small nuclear RNA of Sorex araneus (European shrew), 165 nucleotides long. RefSeq annotates it as U1 spliceosomal RNA. Lineage: Eukaryota; Metazoa; Chordata; Mammalia; Eulipotyphla; Soricidae. The transcript has a single exon. The record is from RefSeq and is a predicted model, not a curated record.